GACGAACGCUGGCGGCGUGCUUAACACAUGCAAGUCGAACGGAAAGGCCCUGCUUUUGUGGGGUGCUCGAGUGGCGAACGGGUGAGUAACACGUGAGUAACCUGCCCUUGACUUUGGGAUAACUUCAGGAAACUGGGGCUAAUACCGGAUAUGAGCUCCUGCUGCAUGGUGGGGGUUGGAAAGUUUCGGCGGUUGGUGAUGGACUCGCGGCUUAUCAGCUUGUUGGUGGGGUAGUGGCUUACCAAGGCUUUGACGGGUAGCCGGCCUGAGAGGGUGACCGGCCACAUUGGGACUGAGAUACGGCCCAGACUCCUACGGGAGGCAGCAGUGGGGAAUAUUGCACAAUGGGCGGAAGCCUGAUGCAGCAACGCCGCGUGCGGGAUGACGGCCUUCGGGUUGUAAACCGCUUUCGCCUGUGACGAAGCGUGAGUGACGGUAAUGGGUAAAGAAGCACCGGCUAACUACGUG
RNAcentral lists this ribosomal RNA (468 nucleotides) under uncultured bacterium. RNAcentral's name for it is "partial 16S ribosomal RNA". It matches the Rfam family "Bacterial small subunit ribosomal RNA", at positions 28 to 507 of the family's 1533-position model. The record is from RNAcentral.